Molecule: long non-coding RNA, 2601 nt
Organism: Mus musculus (house mouse)
Lineage: Eukaryota; Metazoa; Chordata; Mammalia; Rodentia; Muridae
Product: RIKEN cDNA D330022H12 gene
Exons: 2
Source: RefSeq, a predicted model, not a curated record
GGGGCGGGCGAACCGGCCAGGAGGAAAAGCCCCAAGGACCGGGAAGAUGGAGGCGGCCGCAGCGGGCGAGGGGCGGGGACCCUCGCCUCCCCCUGCGGGGUCACCUUGGCCAGGGCCCCCGCGGCCCUUGGCUGCCGCGGAGGUGAUAGAAAUGCCUCUUGGAAGGCCCUGAUUUCCCCGCCCAGUCCAGAUCCAGGACCGCGCAGGCAAAGGCCUUUCAAUUCCGACAGGUUCGAGGCCACGCUUCUCUCUUCCAGCUUUGCCUUGUCUUCAGCCUCAGUUGCCCUCCUGGUGAAAUAAGCACAAGGCCUGGCACAACCAAUCCAGGAUUCCGUUAUCUUGGUGACAUCCGCCUGGACAACCUGGGUCCCCUAAUCUGAGCGCCGCCGGGGUCAUCGCACUUGGCGUCAGUAAGUUCAAUGAGUUGGUCACUGAAAAGUGGAUGUAAGUCAGUAACGCUUGCACACCGCAGCCAAGCUGUUUCCCACCUUUUCCUGGGAAGCUCAGACUUGGCGUUCUUUAGUGUUUUCUUUGGGCGAGUCUUGAGUCCACGCCUAAUAUCUUUUUACCUGUCUGGUGACAAAUCUCAGUUCAAAAAGACAGCCCUCCUGAUCCGAAGUUGGACUUGAACUCAGGAAACGAAAAGGCACUUCAAAGUCAGCAUCACCAGUAGGUGAAGUACUGACUCCGGGUUGGAAAUCUGUUAUUCGGGCAUUUGAUGCCUCGGUCUGCGCCAGAGCCACAUCAAGACAUGAAUCUUGAUCAUGGGGCAUCCCCAUUCCCAGGCACUGCUCUUGGCACACGCUCCUGGUCUGGUGCGAAGGGAGAAUUCAGACUGGAAUCCAAGGCUGGGUGGUGAGGCAUGACCCCUCCUCACUGCAAUCUGGGAACAUGGAGGUACACUUACUAUAAACUAGGCAAGUGGUCCCUUAGAUGUCAAGCCUGGUCCAGUUUCACAACCUAGCUGGUGUCCUCGUAACUACUGAGAGAGAAAAAAGUAAACAAAAUUUGGAUGUUUUCUGCAAAACCAACAAGAUUAAACACAGAAGCCUGAAAUCCCAGCACUUGGGAGGACCACCACAAGUUGGAGGUUGGCCUGAAUUACAUAGUGAAUUCCAGGGCCACCUGGGCUAUGUAUAAAGUGAGAUCUUUAUCAGCAUUUAAAAAUAAUGUGUUCAAAGCCAGCCUGGUUUACAUAACAAGUCCCAAGACAAUCAGGGCCACAUAGAGUGAGCCUGUGUCAGAAAAAAAAAAAACUAAAUAAAUACGUAAAUAAAAAGGAGUGAAGACAGACUGCUAAAUUAGGUGUAGAAGUAACUCAGGCCUCAAUCCAGGCAGCUGGUCCUCAGUGGGCUGAGCUAGGAGUGUCUGGAUUUUAAAGCUGGCUGGGGAUACAAGAUUCUAUCCUAAAUACCCAUCCUCAAGGAGACCACUUCUCUCUCUGUACUAUUUUCUCUCUACAUUUUUCACUGUAUUCCCAACAACUUCAAGAGUAACUCCCAUUAUUCCCAUUUUACAAAAGUGGAAACUGAGGCAAAGGGACAUUGACAUAGUCAGUGGUUUUGUUGUGGUUGCUUGUUUUGUUUUUCAACAUAGGGUCUCUGUGUAGCUGGCCUCAAAGAUGGGCCUGCCACUGCUUCACUAGUGUUGGGGUUAAAGGUGUGCCCCACCCCCACCUCAACUUCCCCCCUCCCCCACUCCACCUCAACCUUCAUUGAUAACGAGGUUUUAUAAAUUAGUAGGAGGCAGCCAGGCAUGGUGGCACACGCCUUUAAUCCCAGCACUCGGGAGACAGAGGCAGGCGGAUUUCUGAGUUCGAGGCCAGCCUGGUCUUCAGAGUGAGUUCCAGGACAGCCAGAACUAUACAGAGAAACCCUGUCUCGAAAAACCAAAAAAAUUAAAAACAAAAAAAAGUUAGUAGGCAUAGUUCAGGUUGCAGUCUCAGUGGUUUGAUUCCAAAGUAUGUACUUGAAACCCACUGCCUCCCUAGGACAUCAGAUACUGGGAAAGGUAGGGAAGGAACUAUAGGGGUCAGGACAUUUUUUUUGGAGUUCUUCAUGAUAAACAAUGAGUAAAGAUCCUCUCUGAUCUUAGUGUCUCGGUAGUGGCCCUCUCCUCUCUCAGAGCCCUUCUCUAAAGAGGCAUCCUUCCUCUUGUGCCAAGGACGUGGAAGGAGGAGUGUUUUCUCUAGAAGAUGGUAAGCCCCCAAGGUAGGAUUCACGUGUUUUCCCCUUCGGAGGAGUAAAUGCCUCCAAACUAUGACUGCGUGGUAUGUCUGAAGGAUGAAUUUGGUGUCCUAAUCUUUUACUGGUAAACAUGUAUUGAACUGGGGGUUUAGCUCAGUGGGACAGUACAUGUUAGCAUCACCAAGAACAAGCACAGCAAAGAAACCAUGUGUUGAAUAUGUCUUCAGCCCACAUCCAUUCAAAAACUGCUUAUUAAGAUCUUUUGUUCGUUUAUUUGUUUGCAUGUUAGUUUUUGAAGCAGGGUCUCACUCUGUGACCGCAGCUGAUAUGGACUUGUUUUAUAGACCCGGCUGGUCUUGAAUUCAGAGAGGUCUGGAGAGAUGGCUCAGUGGUUAAGUAAGUACUCCUUGCUCUC